ACUAAGCGUACACGGUGGAUGCCCUGGCAGUCAGAGGCGAUGAAGGACGUGCUAAUCUGCGAUAAGCGCCGGUAAGGUGAUAUGAACCGUUAUAACCGGCGAUUUCCGAAUGGGGAAACCCAGUGUGACUCGUCACACUAUCAUUAACUGAAUCCAUAGGUUAAUGAGGCGAACCGGGGGAACUGAAACAUCUAAGUACCCCGAGGAAAAGAAAUCAACCGAGAUUCCCCCAGUAGCGGCGAGCGAACGGGGAGGAGCCCAGAGCCUGAAUCAGCAUGUGUGUUAGUGGAAGCGUCUGGAAAGGCGCGCGAUACAGGGUGACAGCCCCGUACACAAAAGCGCAUGUGCUGUGAGCUCGAUGAGUAGGGCGGGACACGUGGUAUCCUGUCUGAAUAUGGGGGGACCAUCCUCCAAGGCUAAAUACUCCUGACUGACCGAUAGUGAACCAGUACCGUGAGGGAAAGGCGAAAAGAACCCCGGCGAGGGGAGUGAAAAAGAACCUGAAACCGUGUACGUACAAGCAGUGGGAGCACAGGUUUACCUGUGUGACUGCGUACCUUUUGUAUAAUGGGUCAGCGACUUAUAUUCUGUAGCAAGGUUAACCGAAUAGGGGAGCCGGAGGGAAACCGAGUCUUAAUUGGGCGUUAAGUUGCAGGGUAUAGACCCGAAACCCGGUGAUCUAGCCAUGGGCAGGUUGAAGGUUGGGUAACACUAACUGGAGGACCGAACCGACUAAUGUUGAAAAAUUAGCGGAUGACCUGUGGCUGGGGGUGAAAGGCCAAUCAAACCGGGAGAUAGCUGGUUCUCCCCGAAAGCUAUUUAGGUAGCGCCUCGUGAAUUCAUCUCCGGGGGUAGAGCACUGUUUCGGCUAGGGGGCCAUCCCGGCUUACCAACCCGAUGCAAACUGCGAAUACCGGAGAAUGUUAUCACGGGAGACACACGGCGGGUGCUAACGUCCGUCGUGAAGAGGGAAACAACCCAGACCGCCAGCUAAGGUCCCAAAGUCAUGGUUAAGUGGGAAACGAUGUGGGAAGGCCCAGACAGCCAGGAUGUUGGCUUAGAAGCAGCCAUCAUUUAAAGAAAGCGUAAUAGCUCACUGGUCGAGUCGGCCUGCGCGGAAGAUGUAACGGGGCUAAACCAUGCACCGAAGCUGCGGCAGCGACGCUGAUGCGUUGUUGGGUAGGGGAGCGUUCUGUAAGCCUGCGAAGGUGGCCUGUGAGGGUUGCUGGAGGUAUCAGAAGUGCGAAUGCUGACAUAAGUAACGAUAAAGCGGGUGAAAAGCCCGCUCGCCGGAAGACCAAGGGUUCCUGUCCAACGUUAAUCGGGGCAGGGUGAGUCGACCCCUAAGGCGAGGCCGAAAGGCGUAGUCGAUGGGAAACGGGUUAAUAUUCCCGUACUUGGUGUUACUGCGAAGGGGGGACGGAGAAGGCUAUGUUGGCCGGGCGACGGUUGUCCCGGUUUAAGCGUGUAGGUGUGUGUUCCAGGUAAAUCCGGUUCACUUUAACACUGAGGCGUGAUGACGAGGCACUACGGUGCUGAAGCAACAAAUGCCCUGCUUCCAGGAAAAGCCUCUAAGCAUCAGGUAACAUCAAAUCGUACCCCAAACCGACACAGGUGGUCAGGUAGAGAAUACCAAGGCGCUUGAGAGAACUCGGGUGAAGGAACUAGGCAAAAUGGUGCCGUAACUUCGGGAGAAGGCACGCUGACACGUAGGUGAAGUGAUUUACUCAUGGAGCUGAAGUCAGUCGAAGAUACCAGCUGGCUGCAACUGUUUAUUAAAAACACAGCACUGUGCAAACACGAAAGUGGACGUAUACGGUGUGACGCCUGCCCGGUGCCGGAAGGUUAAUUGAUGGGGUCAGCGCAAGCGAAGCUCCUGAUCGAAGCCCCGGUAAACGGCGGCCGUAACUAUAACGGUCCUAAGGUAGCGAAAUUCCUUGUCGGGUAAGUUCCGACCUGCACGAAUGGCGUAAUGAUGGCCAGGCUGUCUCCACCCGAGACUCAGUGAAAUUGAACUCGCUGUGAAGAUGCAGUGUACCCGCGGCAAGACGGAAAGACCCCGUGAACCUUUACUAUAGCUUGACACUGAACAUUGAGCCUUGAUGUGUAGGAUAGGUGGGAGGCUUUGAAGUGUGGACGCCAGUCUGCAUGGAGCCGACCUUGAAAUACCACCCUUUAAUGUUUGAUGUUCUAACGUGGACCCGUAAUCCGGGUUGCGGACAGUGUCUGGUGGGUAGUUUGACUGGGGCGGUCUCCUCCUAAAGAGUAACGGAGGAGCACGAAGGUUGGCUAAUCCUGGUCGGACAUCAGGAGGUUAGUGCAAUGGCAUAAGCCAGCUUGACUGCGAGCGUGACGGCGCGAGCAGGUGCGAAAGCAGGUCAUAGUGAUCCGGUGGUUCUGAAUGGAAGGGCCAUCGCUCAACGGAUAAAAGGUACUCCGGGGAUAACAGGCUGAUACCGCCCAAGAGUUCAUAUCGACGGCGGUGUUUGGCACCUCGAUGUCGGCUCAUCACAUCCUGGGGCUGAAGUAGGUCCCAAGGGUAUGGCUGUUCGCCAUUUAAAGUGGUACGCGAGCUGGGUUUAGAACGUCGUGAGACAGUUCGGUCCCUAUCUGCCGUGGGCGCUGGAGAACUGAGGGGGGCUGCUCCUAGUACGAGAGGACCGGAGUGGACGCAUCACUGGUGUUCGGGUUGUCAUGCCAAUGGCACUGCCCGGUAGCUAAAUGCGGAAGAGAUAAGUGCUGAAAGCAUCUAAGCACGAAACUUGCCCCGAGAUGAGUUCUCCCUGAGACUUAAAGUCUCCUGAAGGAACGUUGAAGACGACGACGUUGAUAGGCCGGGUGUGUAAGCGCAGCGAUGCGUUGAGCUAACCGGUACUAAUGAACCGUGAGGCUUAACC
RNAcentral lists this ribosomal RNA (2897 nucleotides) under Salmonella enterica subsp. enterica serovar Ohio. Its description in RNAcentral is "bacterial LSU rRNA". It matches the Rfam family "Bacterial large subunit ribosomal RNA". The record is from RNAcentral. Lineage: Bacteria; Pseudomonadati; Pseudomonadota; Gammaproteobacteria; Enterobacterales; Enterobacteriaceae.